GAUCCCGUCGUCUAGCGGCGAAGACAUCCCUUUGACGUGGGGAAGAGCGGUGGUUCGAGUCCACCCGGGAUUA
RNAcentral lists this transfer RNA (73 nucleotides) under Isosphaeraceae bacterium. Its description in RNAcentral is "tRNA-Val". It matches the Rfam family "tRNA". From Rfam's summary of the family: Transfer RNA (tRNA) molecules are approximately 80 nucleotides in length. The record is from RNAcentral. Lineage: Bacteria; Pseudomonadati; Planctomycetota; Planctomycetia; Isosphaerales; Isosphaeraceae.